RNAcentral lists this transfer-messenger RNA (348 nucleotides) under pig gut metagenome. It matches the Rfam family "transfer-messenger RNA". From Rfam's summary of the family: Bacterial tmRNA, also known as 10Sa RNA or SsrA, is named for its dual tRNA and mRNA-like properties. Its role is to liberate the mRNA from a stalled ribosome. The record is from RNAcentral.
GGGGGCGUACUGGUUUCGACGGGGAUUGCGAAGGACAGGAUAAGCGAGCCGAGGACCCAGACCUCGUUAAAACGGGGAAAUUAAAAUUAACUGACAAUAACAGUUACGCUUUCGCGGCCUAAUGGCUGCGCGUCGCCCCAAAGCGCUCACGGCUUUGGCCAGCGGCGUCAUUGAUGUGAGGAACAGGCCUGCCUAAGCUUUGCGGCAAGGCCGGUAUCAUGAAGCUACCAAACCGAUAAGCCCGUUUACAGGCGUUUCGGCGAGGGAAAUCCAAAAUGUAAACUGCGCUCGGAGAAAAUGCUGUAAUUCGGUCUUCGGACAGGGGUUCGAUUCCCCUCGCCUCCACCA